GUCCACGCCCUAAACGAUGUCAACUGGUUGUUUGACGGCUUGCUGUUCAGUAACGAAGCUAACGCGUGAAGUUGACCGCCUGGGGAGUACGGCCGCAAGGUUGAAACUCAAAGGAAUUUACGGGGACCCGCACAAGCGGUUGAUGAUGUGGUUUAAUUCGAUGCAACGCGAAAAACCUUACCUACCCUUGACAUGUCAAGAAUCUUGCAGAGAUGUGAGAGUGCUCGAAAGAGAACUUGAACACAGGUGCUGCAUGGCCGUCGU
RNAcentral lists this ribosomal RNA (264 nucleotides) under uncultured bacterium. RNAcentral's name for it is "partial 16S ribosomal RNA". It matches the Rfam family "Bacterial small subunit ribosomal RNA", at positions 793 to 1055 of the family's 1533-position model. The record is from RNAcentral.